GAACGCACCUUGCACCCUUUGGUAUUCCGAAGGGUAUGCUCGUUUGAGUGUCAUUGUACUCUCACACUUCUGAUCUUUGGAUUGGGAGCGGUGGACUUGGGUGUUGCUGCUUACUGUGGCUCACCUCAAAUCGAUUCGUGCACCUCUUGGUUGGACAUAGUACGGCGUGAUAAGUGUCUUCGCCGGCACCUCAUUCGAGGGUGGCUGAUCGGGAGCUCUGUGCUUCAAACCGUCCUCGGACAACAACUGACAACUUGACCUCAAAUCGAGUAGGACUACCCGCUGAACUUAAG
This 293-nucleotide unclassified non-coding RNA is filed under the name uncultured Sebacina. RNAcentral describes it as "sequence contains 5.8S rRNA gene". Lineage: Eukaryota; Fungi; Basidiomycota; Agaricomycetes; Sebacinales; Sebacinaceae. The record is from RNAcentral.